This is a long non-coding RNA of Solea senegalensis (Senegalese sole), 1967 nucleotides long. RefSeq lists it as uncharacterized. The record is from RefSeq and is a predicted model, not a curated record. The transcript has 2 exons. NCBI's taxonomy places the organism in Eukaryota, Metazoa, Chordata, Actinopteri, Pleuronectiformes, Soleidae.
UCCCUCCAACAGGAAGUGCAAUAAAAACAGCAGGAAUUCACCGUAACUCACCCCUCAAAGACGUUGCCACUCCUGCUAUAAGUAUAAGGUCGGUCUGCUGAGUAAUGGGGGCGUUCAAGGUUUUUUCCACACUUGCCAUCUGUCUUCUGUUGGCUAGUCAAACAUUUGCUAAAAAUGAGGCACCCUGCCAGAAGUCCAAGUGGAACAACGGCUACAACACCUUUGUCAGACGCCACAUCCGCGAUGGAUUGCCCGCUACUCUCAACAGAGAUGAUUGGAAGGCGUACAUCAAAAACAACGGGGGCUGUGACAGACCAACACAGUCUUUCCUUCACCCGGCAGACCUGGACAGGGUGAAGUCUGUGUGCACAAGUGCAGGAGGUAAGACAUACAAGGAGAACCUGUGCAUCAGCCAGCAGCCUUUCACUUUUGUCACAGUGAGGAGUGAACCGGAAACCUGUGGGAUCAGGAACAUCCGUGAGGAAACCAAACAUCUGAUUCUGGCCUGUGAAGUGUUGGAGAAUCAGUGCCUGCCUGUACAUUUUGAGGGAAAUCCUGAAAGUCAUGGACCUAAUAACAACGCAAAAGGCUGCCAGGACACUGAUAUUAGAGGCCAUGCACCCAGCUUUAAAAUGACAUGGCUUCCAUUGUUGUUUGUUGUUGUGCUUGUUAUUUUAGUCUAAUCACAUUUUAAAUGGUUCAAGGGACAUUUCACUUUCUGGAUCACACUUGAGCAAACAAUGUGUUUAAAGUAUUAAAAUGACAUUUGAAAAUAUCAAACAACAAUCUAUCAAUGAAUCACAUUGUGUACAGGUUUAAAAAAUGUUUGUUUAACUUUUAUAAUUCAUGUUAUGCUUGUGUGUGUGUGUGUAUAAGGGAGGUUUUUCUUUUAUAGCUGUCCAGCAAUCAUUUCAGUAUAAGCAGAGAGUUUACAGCACAGUUAAAGGGCAGAAAUUAUAUUACUAUACUUAAGGGAUUGUAUUUACUAAAGAUGUUUUUAUAAAGUGAAUAAGAUAUAUAUUUUAAAAAUUCUUGAGUCCAUGUUGCUCUUGUUUUCACCUUCUAUCUUGAUUAGUCAGUCUUCAACUUGACUGAUUGGCACCUGAUUUGGCAGUUGCCAAAUAAAUUUUUUUUUAUAUUGAAAUGGCUGUAAAAAAUAAACAUAAUAUGGACAAAGUUGCUGUUGUGUUAUAUUAUGGAUUGGUUCACAACUGUGUGUUAUCUUCCAUACAAAACACUGAACUUUGAUCAUCAAAAAAACAAGCACAAUAGGAUCGGUCUAUAGACUGUGUUGCUCCGCUGUAGUCCAGCUCUUUUUUUUUUAUAAAUGUGGUUGAUCAAUAUUUUGUUGUAGGAGAGGGGUGUCCGAUGUAUUGGUGACUUAUACAUGGGAGGCGUCUUUGCUUCAUUCACAUAGAUGCAGGGGAAGUAUGAACUGGUGAAUAAUAGCUUCUUUCGUUACCUACAAGUCAGGGACUACAUUCGGAAAUAUUUAAGAGAUUUUGAGACAAUAACGCAAUCUACAAUAGAUGACUGUCUGAAACUGUCUCCUAAUGACAGUAAAUUGAUAUCCCACAUCUAUAAUAAUCUCUUAUUAAUAAGCUUCCCCUUAACUGAAAAGUGUAAACAUAAGUGGGAAGAGGAACUAGGUGAAUCAAUUCCAGACGAUUUAUGGAAGGAGAGUCUUGAAAAUAUACAUAAUUGUUCAGAUAACACAAGACACUGUCUUGUCCAAUUUAAAAUUAUACAUAGGCUUCAUUACUCGAAGGAAAAACUGCAUAAAAAUAUACCCAGAUGUGUCACCUUUGUGUGAUAAAUGCCACUGACCUUGUUUUAAUAUUCUAAAAAGUUUAUUCUUUACUUGACUUUCGUAUUGUUUAUAAAAAAAGCCUCAAAAAAAGCCUCAGAAUGUACAAGUGGAAUGUAUGUUAAAAUGGAUACUUUAAUAAAAAGACGUUUGAUUAAUA